Molecule: ribosomal RNA, 1413 nt
Filed under: bacterium
Lineage: Bacteria
Description: bacterial SSU rRNA
Rfam family: Bacterial small subunit ribosomal RNA
Source: RNAcentral
AAGUCGAGCGAACAGAUGAGAAGCUUGCUUCUCUGAUGUUAGCGGCGGACGGGUGAGUAACACGUGGGUAACCUACCUAUAAGACUGGGAUAACUCCGGGAAACCGGGGCUAAUACCGGAUAAUAUUUUGAACCGCAUGGUUCAAUAGUGAAAGACGGUUUCGGCUGUCACUUAUAGAUGGACCCGCGCCGUAUUAGCUAGUUGGUAAGGUAACGGCUUACCAAGGCGACGAUACGUAGCCGACCUGAGAGGGUGAUCGGCCACACUGGAACUGAGACACGGUCCAGACUCCUACGGGAGGCAGCAGUAGGGAAUCUUCCGCAAUGGGCGAAAGCCUGACGGAGCAACGCCGCGUGAGUGAUGAAGGUCUUCGGAUCGUAAAACUCUGUUGUUAGGGAAGAACAAAUUUGUUAGUAACUGAACAAGUCUUGACGGUACCUAACCAGAAAGCCACGGCUAACUACGUGCCAGCAGCCGCGGUAAUACGUAGGUGGCAAGCGUUAUCCGGAAUUAUUGGGCGUAAAGCGCGCGUAGGCGGUUUCUUAAGUCUGAUGUGAAAGCCCACGGCUCAACCGUGGAGGGUCAUUGGAAACUGGGAAACUUGAGUGCAGAAGAGGAGAGUGGAAUUCCAUGUGUAGCGGUGAAAUGCGCAGAGAUAUGGAGGAACACCAGUGGCGAAGGCGGCUCUCUGGUCUGUAACUGACGCUGAUGUGCGAAAGCGUGGGGAUCAAACAGGAUUAGAUACCCUGGUAGUCCACGCCGUAAACGAUGAGUGCUAAGUGUUAGGGGGUUUCCGCCCCUUAGUGCUGCAGCUAACGCAUUAAGCACUCCGCCUGGGGAGUACGACCGCAAGGUUGAAACUCAAAGGAAUUGACGGGGACCCGCACAAGCGGUGGAGCAUGUGGUUUAAUUCGAAGCAACGCGAAGAACCUUACCAAAUCUUGACAUCCUUUGACCGCUCUAGAGAUAGAGUCUUCCCCUUCGGGGGACAAAGUGACAGGUGGUGCAUGGUUGUCGUCAGCUCGUGUCGUGAGAUGUUGGGUUAAGUCCCGCAACGAGCGCAACCCUUAAGCUUAGUUGCCAUCAUUAAGUUGGGCACUCUAGGUUGACUGCCGGUGACAAACCGGAGGAAGGUGGGGAUGACGUCAAAUCAUCAUGCCCCUUAUGAUUUGGGCUACACACGUGCUACAAUGGAUAAUACAAAGGGCAGCGAAUCCGCGAGGCCAAGCAAAUCCCAUAAAAUUAUUCUCAGUUCGGAUUGUAGUCUGCAACUCGACUACAUGAAGCUGGAAUCGCUAGUAAUCGUAGAUCAGCAUGCUACGGUGAAUACGUUCCCGGGUCUUGUACACACCGCCCGUCACACCACGAGAGUUUGUAACACCCGAAGCCGGUGGAGUAACCUUUUAGGAGCUA